RNAcentral lists this ribosomal RNA (430 nucleotides) under Bacillota bacterium. Its description in RNAcentral is "Firmicutes bacterium partial 16S ribosomal RNA". It matches the Rfam family "Bacterial small subunit ribosomal RNA", at positions 355 to 776 of the family's 1533-position model. Lineage: Bacteria; Bacillati; Bacillota. The record is from RNAcentral.
UGGGGAAUAUUGGACAAUGGGCGCAAGCCUGAUCCAGCCAUGCCGCGUGAGUGAAGAAGGCCUUCGGGUUGUAAAGCUCUUUUGUUGGGGAAGAAAAGCAUCCGGCUAAUACCCGGGUGUUCUGACGGUACCCAAAGAAUAAGCACCGGCUAACUUCGUGCCAGCAGCCGCGGUAAUACGAAGGGUGCAAGCGUUACUCGGAAUUACUGGGCGUAAAGCGUGCGUAGGUGGUUCGUUAAGUCUGAUGUGAAAGCCCUGGGCUCAACCUGGGAACUGCAUUGGAUACUGGCGAUCUGGAGUGCGGUAGAGGGUGGCGGAAUUUCCCGGUGUAGCAGUGAAAUGCGUAGAUAUCGGGAGGAACAUCCGUGGCGAAGGCGGCCACCUGGACCAGCACUGACACUGAGGCACGAAAGCGUGGGGAGCAAACAGG